This 31-nucleotide non-coding RNA is filed under the name Homo sapiens (human). Lineage: Eukaryota; Metazoa; Chordata; Mammalia; Primates; Hominidae. The record is from RNAcentral.
GUACAAUCCUCAAUUACCUGCGGGAUGGGUC